RNAcentral lists this ribosomal RNA (492 nucleotides) under Thetella sp. Mau. RNAcentral's name for it is "partial 16S ribosomal RNA". It matches the Rfam family "Archaeal large subunit ribosomal RNA", at positions 1919 to 2651 of the family's 2987-position model. The record is from RNAcentral. Lineage: Eukaryota; Metazoa; Arthropoda; Insecta; Orthoptera; Trigonidiidae.
CUUUCUGGAAGUGAAAAUAUAGAAAGUCGGUCCUGCUCACUGAAAUAUUUAAAGAGCCGCAGUAUAUUGACUGUGCAAAGGUAGCAUAAUCAUUAGUUUCUUAAUUAGAAACUGGAAUGAAUGGUUUGACGAGAAAACAACUGUCUUCAGAUUGAAUAAUUGAAUUUUAUAUUUGAGUUAAAAAGCUAAAAUGUAAAUUAGGGACGAGAAGACCCUAUAGAUCUUUAUAUAAUGUUUUAUUAGAAUUGAAUUAAGAGUAAUUUUUUAUUAGGAGAUUAUAUUGGGUUGGGGUGACAGUAGAAUAGGGAAACUUCUAUAAAUAAGAACAAUGAUUAUUGGAUAUAAGAUCCUUUAUUAAGGAAAGAAGAUUAAGAUACCUUAGGGAUAACAGCGUAAUUUUAUUGGAAAGUUCUUAUUGAUAAUAAAGAUUGCGACCUCGAUGUUGGAUUAAGAUUACUUAUUUGUGUAGAAGCUAAUAAAGUAGGUCUGUUC